RNAcentral lists this long non-coding RNA (677 nucleotides) under Androctonus crassicauda. The record is from RNAcentral. Lineage: Eukaryota; Metazoa; Arthropoda; Arachnida; Scorpiones; Buthidae.
AAGUAUAUUUAUAUAUAAAUAAUUAUAAAACAUUACAAAACUUUUCUCGGGAUCCCGUGGACCUUACCAGAGUGUUGGGCUCGUUCCAGCGCCCGUAAUUAUCCGAUCGAAUGUCUGAGGCAGUCGUCUACGUUGCGCGGUAUUUUUUUUGUUUCUACUUUCUUCGGACCCGGGUCUUCCCCAUUUUCUUACCGCCAGUGUCGGACUACUGGCCGUUUUGGCCCGGAAAUCCACCAACGUCGAUCGGCCUUUGGUCCGUAUUUACCUCCGAAAAUGCGCUCAAUAUUUUUAUGGGAAGCCGAAGAAAAAUAACUUUUUGUUUUUUACAUCUACAAAUAUCGAUAAGAAAAUAGAAUUUCGAACCGUUAUCUGGAUAUGUAAAGUGAAUAAACGAAAGCGAGAAAUCUAAGUCAGUUAGUUUUGUUAUCUUCCCAUACACGCAUUUACCCCGACAUUUAUAAAUCGGUGAAAUAAAAAUUAACGAACGACAAUUGUUUAUACCAAUGAUGGGCGAACUACGGCCCGCCACCACGAUACGUACGGCCCGAGAUCCGUGCGCGAGUGUAAGAAUUUUUAAAUUUUACCACAAAAAUAUUAAUUAUAUAAACGAGCGACAUAAUUAAUUAAUUAAAUUUUAAUUUUGUAUGCUAAAGCGUCCUCUUUAAAAAAAUCUGGUA